This 535-nucleotide ribosomal RNA is filed under the name Dryadomyces montetyi. RNAcentral's name for it is "LSU rRNA". It matches the Rfam family "Eukaryotic large subunit ribosomal RNA", at positions 83 to 635 of the family's 3401-position model. Lineage: Eukaryota; Fungi; Ascomycota; Sordariomycetes; Ophiostomatales; Ophiostomataceae. The record is from RNAcentral.
UUAACGGCGAGUGAAGCGGCAACAGCUCAGAUUUGGAAUCUGGCCCCCCCCCGGGGGCCCGAGUUGUAAUCUGGAGAGGAUGCUUCUGGCGCGGCGCCUGGCGAGUUCCCUGGAACGGGACGCCGGAGAGGGUGAGAGCCCCGUACUCCAGGACGCCCAGCCUCUGCGAAGCUCCUUCGACGAGUCGAGUAGUUUGGGAAUGCUGCUCUAAACGGGAGGUAAAUUUCUUCUAAAGCUAAAUACCGGCCAGAGACCGAUAGCGCACAAGUAGAGUGAUCGAAAGAUGAAAAGCACUUUGAAAAGAGGGUCAAACAGUACGUGAAAUUGUUGAAAGGGAAGCGCCCGUGGCCAGACUUGCGCCCCGCGGCCCACCCGGCGGACCCCGCCGGGGCACGCCGCGGGGCGCAGGCCAGCAUCGGCUCUCCUAGGGGGACAAGGACGGCGGGAACGUGGCUCCCUCGGGAGUGUUAUAGCCCGCCGCGCCAUGCCCCUGGGGGGGCCGAGAACCGCGCUUCGGCAAGGAUGCUGGCGUAAG